GACGAACGCUGGCGGCGCGCCUAACACAUGCAAGUCGAACGAGAAAGGAAGAGCUUGCUCUUCUAAUCGAGUGGCGAACGGGUGAGUAACGCGUGAGGAACCUGCCUCAAAGAGGGGGACAACAGUUGGAAACGACUGCUAAUACCGCAUAAGCCCACGACCCGGCAUCGGGAAGAGGGAAAAGGAGCAAUCCGCUUUGAGAUGGCCUCGCGUCCGAUUAGCUAGUUGGUGAGGUAACGGCCCACCAAGGCGACGAUCGGUAGCCGGACUGAGAGGUUGAACGGCCACAUUGGGACUGAGACACGGCCCAGACUCCUACGGGAGGCAGCAGUGGGGAAUAUUGCACAAUGGGGGAAACCCUGAUGCAGCGACGCCGCGUGGAGGAAGAAGGUCUUCGGAUUGUAAACUCCUGUUGUUGAGGAAGAUAAUGACGGUACUCAACAAGGAAGUGACGGCUAACUACGUG
Molecule: ribosomal RNA, 466 nt
Filed under: uncultured bacterium
Lineage: Bacteria
Description: bacterial SSU rRNA
Rfam family: Bacterial small subunit ribosomal RNA
Source: RNAcentral